This 469-nucleotide ribosomal RNA is filed under the name uncultured Comamonadaceae bacterium. Its description in RNAcentral is "bacterial SSU rRNA". It matches the Rfam family "Bacterial small subunit ribosomal RNA", at positions 336 to 798 of the family's 1533-position model. The record is from RNAcentral. Lineage: Bacteria; Pseudomonadati; Pseudomonadota; Betaproteobacteria; Burkholderiales; Comamonadaceae.
UUCCUACGGGCGGCUGCAGUGGGGAAUUUUGGACAAUGGGCGCAAGCCUGAUCCAGCAAUGCCGCGUGCAGGAAGAAGGCCUUCGGGUUGUAAACUGCUUUUGUACGGAACGAAAAGGCUCUGGUUAAUACCUGGGGCUCAUGACGGUACCGUAAGAAUAAGCACCGGCUAACUACGUGCCAGCAGCCGCGGUAAUACGUAGGGUGCAAGCGUUAAUCGGAAUUACUGGGCGUAAAGCGUGCGCAGGCGGUUUUGUAAGACAGGCGUGAAAUCCCCGGGCUCAACCUGGGAAGUGCGCUUGGGACUGCAAGGCUGGAGUGCGGCAGAGGGGGAUGGAAUUCCGCGUGUAGCAGUGAAAUGCGUAGAUAUGCGGAGGAACACCGAUGGCGAAGGCAAUCCCCUGGGCCUGCACUGACGCUCAUGCACGAAAGCGUGGGGAGCAAACAGGAUUAGAUACCCCAGUAGUCAC